RNAcentral lists this small RNA (168 nucleotides) under Chelonoidis abingdonii (Abingdon island giant tortoise). RNAcentral's name for it is "TUC338 (ENSCABG00000006091.1)". Lineage: Eukaryota; Metazoa; Chordata; Testudines; Testudinidae. The record is from RNAcentral.
CUGAAAGCUUCUGGAGACCAAAGUCCUCUCUUUAUCCACAGGACAGGAACAGCACGGGCAGUGGCAAUGCAAGCUUUCCCAUACUGCCCCAGCAAGGUGACUCAAUACUCUCACUUCUAGGGGUGACAAAGAAAUUAAUUCCUUAUGUUAAUUAAUUCCCUGACCUCA